This 789-nucleotide unclassified non-coding RNA is filed under the name Hevea brasiliensis (rubber tree). Lineage: Eukaryota; Viridiplantae; Streptophyta; Magnoliopsida; Malpighiales; Euphorbiaceae. The record is from RNAcentral.
AAAGAGGAGGUGGCCUCAUUGUUUUAGGAUUGUAUACAAUCCACCCAUCUUUGGGCUUCUUGUGAGCGAAAAUAGUCCAAGGUUCAUCUUGAUUUACAGAAAGAUCAGCAGCCUCAGAAACUCCUAUGUGUGCUGAAGCAGUCGCCGAUGAAACUUUUCUCUUUGCUCGUACAUUUUUCUUGCCUUUGAUAUCAUUAGAUUCAAUGGACAUUUCUUGGGUAAUUUCAGUUUGUUUAACAAUAAUGUCAAAACUGGUAUCCUCAGUCUGGCCUUUUGUGACUCGUCUUUUCGUCUGCCGAGUAGUAGGAACCUCAGAUGUGACGUUGCUUUGGUUGCGAUUCUUACUUGGCAAUUUUCUGGACUUCUUUUUUGAAGGGUUAGCUGCUACUUCUAGACUCUCCUCAGAUGAUACUUUAUCCUCCUGUGCCACAGAUCCAUUGCCUGCAUCAUCAAGUUUGCUGUCGAGGAAAGUCUUCAAAGAAGCAACAAGUUCUUGCUUAGUACCUCUGGAAGGAAUCCCAAGACUCCUAAGUUUUACUCUGAGCUGAGGAACAGUCAUUUUCUCUACUGUUCCCAUAUCCUCCACAAGAAUCUCCCCACUCUUGCCAACAUUUUCCUUUGAAACACCCUUUUCAGCUGCAACACUCACUUGUUCAUUUGAUUUUCCAGUAGCUGAUGAGGUUGAAAAGGGUCUUUUUUUAGACCCCAUUAUUGUCAAAUUCAGAGAAACCAAAACCUGAAACUUGGGUAUCCUUGAAAUGACUCCAACACUAUUGGAAGUGAUGAAAU